Molecule: ribosomal RNA, 497 nt
Filed under: uncultured bacterium
Lineage: Bacteria
Description: partial 16S ribosomal RNA
Rfam family: Bacterial small subunit ribosomal RNA
Source: RNAcentral
GAUGAACGCUGGCGGCGUGCCUAAUACAUGCAAGUCGAGCGAACAGACGAGGAGCUUGCUCCUCUGACGUUAGCGGCGGACGGGUGAGUAACACGUGGAUAACCUACCUAUAAGACUGGGAUAACUUCGGGAAACCGGAGCUAAUACCGGAUAAUAUAUUGAACCGCAUGGUUCAAUAGUGAAAGACGGUUUUGCUGUCACUUAUAGAUGGAUCCGCGCCGCAUUAGCUAGUUGGUAAGGUAACGGCUUACCAAGGCGACGAUGCGUAGCCGACCUGAGAGGGUGAUCGGCCACACUGGAACUGAGACACGGUCCAGACUCCUACGGGAGGCAGCAGUAGGGAAUCUUCCGCAAUGGACGAAAGCCUGACGGAGCAACGCCGCGUGAGUGAUGAAGGUCUUCGGAUCGUAAAACUCUGUUAUUAGGGAAGAACAAAUGUGUAAGUAACUAUGCACGUCUUGACGGUACCUAAUCAGAAAGCCACGGCUAACUACGUG